RNAcentral lists this ribosomal RNA (189 nucleotides) under Escherichia coli. RNAcentral's name for it is "partial 23S ribosomal RNA". It matches the Rfam family "Bacterial large subunit ribosomal RNA", at positions 1 to 190 of the family's 2925-position model. RNAcentral also lists the same sequence under 1 other name. Lineage: Bacteria; Pseudomonadati; Pseudomonadota; Gammaproteobacteria; Enterobacterales; Enterobacteriaceae. The record is from RNAcentral.
GGUUAAGCGACUAAGCGUACACGGUGGAUGCCCUGGCAGUCAGAGGCGAUGAAGGACGUGCUAAUCUGCGAAAAGCGUCGGUAAGGUGAUAUGAACCGUUAUAACCGGCGAUGUCCGAAUGGGGAAACCCAGUGCAAUUCGUUGCACUAUCGUUAACUGAAUACAUAGGUUAACGAGGCGAACCGGGGG